UGGUGGGUUGCCUUGUCAGGUUGAUUCCGGUAACGAACGAGACCUCAGCCUGCUAAAUAGUCGGAGCCAGGUCCCCUGGCUGCCCGGACUUCUUAGAGGGACUAUCGGCGACUAGCCGGUGGAAGCUUGAGGCAAUAACA
Molecule: ribosomal RNA, 140 nt
Filed under: uncultured eukaryote
Lineage: Eukaryota
Description: partial 18S ribosomal RNA
Rfam family: Eukaryotic small subunit ribosomal RNA
Source: RNAcentral